UGACAGGAAAGGUAUCCCACAGGGCCUAUAACUGGGGGUUAAAGACCCGGAGUACAAUUUUUGGAGUGCCUUCGAAGAUCGCGUUUCGAGGCAU
Steinernema glaseri is the source of this 94-nucleotide non-coding RNA. NCBI's taxonomy places the organism in Eukaryota, Metazoa, Nematoda, Chromadorea, Rhabditida, Steinernematidae. The record is from Rfam.